This 478-nucleotide ribosomal RNA is filed under the name uncultured Sphingobacteriales bacterium. RNAcentral describes it as "bacterial SSU rRNA". It matches the Rfam family "Bacterial small subunit ribosomal RNA", at positions 902 to 1382 of the family's 1533-position model. Lineage: Bacteria; Pseudomonadati; Bacteroidota; Sphingobacteriia; Sphingobacteriales. The record is from RNAcentral.
CAAAGGAAUUGACGGGGGCCCGCACAAGCGGUGGAGCAUGUGGUUUAAUUCGAUGAUACGCGAGGAACCUUACCUGGGCUCAAAUGUAUGUUGACGUAUUCUGAAAGGGAUACUUCUUCGGACAAUAUACAAGGUGCUGCAUGGUUGUCGUCAGCUCGUGCCGUGAGGUGUCGGGUUAAGUCCCAUAACGAGCGCAACCCCUAUCAUUAGUUGCCAUCAGGUCAAGCUGGGGACUCUAAUGAAACUGCCUACGCAAGUAGUGAGGAAGGUGGGGAUGACGUCAAAUCAGCACGGCCCUUACGUCCAGGGCUACACACGUGCUACAAUGGCCGAUACAGAGGGCAGCUACCUGGUGACAGGAUGCAAAUCUCCAAAGUCGGUCUCAGUUCGGAUCGGAGUCUGCAACCCGACUCCGUGAAGUUGGAUUCGCUAGUAAUCGCGCAUCAGCCAUGGCGCGGUGAAUACGUUCCCGGGCCUU